Callithrix jacchus (white-tufted-ear marmoset) is the source of this 300-nucleotide unclassified non-coding RNA. It matches the Rfam family "Metazoan signal recognition particle RNA". From Rfam's summary of the family: The signal recognition particle (SRP) is a universally conserved ribonucleoprotein. It is involved in the co-translational targeting of proteins to membranes. The eukaryotic SRP consists of a 300-nucleotide 7S RNA and six proteins: SRPs 72, 68, 54, 19, 14, and 9. The record is from Ensembl. Lineage: Eukaryota; Metazoa; Chordata; Mammalia; Primates; Cebidae.
GCUGGGCGUGGUGGCACGUGCCUGUAGUCCCAACUUCUCGGGAGGCUGAGGUGGGAGGAUCGCUUGAGCCCAGGAGUUCUGGGCUGUAGUGCGCUAUGUCAAUUGGGCGUCCGCACUAAGUUCGGCAUCAAUAUGGUGAUCUCCCGGGAGUGGGGGACCACCAGGUUGCCUAAGGAGGGGUGAACUGGCCCAGGUCAGAAAUGGAGCAGGUCAAAACUCCCGUGCUGAUCAGUAGUGGAAUCGCGGCUGUGAACAGCCACUGCACUCCAGCCUGGGCAACAUAGCGAGACCCCAUCUCUA